This 253-nucleotide ribosomal RNA is filed under the name uncultured bacterium. Its description in RNAcentral is "partial 16S ribosomal RNA". It matches the Rfam family "Bacterial small subunit ribosomal RNA", at positions 524 to 776 of the family's 1533-position model. The record is from RNAcentral.
UACGAAGGGGGCUAGCGUUGUUCGGAAUUACUGGGCGUAAAGCGCACGUAGGCGGGUUUGUAAGUAGGGGGUGAAAUCCCUGGGCUCAACCCAGGAACUGCCUUCUAGACUGCAAGCCUGGAGGUCAGGAGAGGCGAGUGGAAUUCCGAGUGUAGAGGUGAAAUUCGUAGAUAUUCGCAAGAACACCAGUGGCGAAGGCGGCUCACUGGCCCGGUACUGACGCUGAGGUGCGAAAGCGUGGGGAGCAAACAGG